RNAcentral lists this ribosomal RNA (267 nucleotides) under uncultured bacterium. RNAcentral describes it as "partial 16S ribosomal RNA". It matches the Rfam family "Bacterial small subunit ribosomal RNA", at positions 335 to 616 of the family's 1533-position model. The record is from RNAcentral.
ACUCCUACGGGAGGCUGCAGUGGGGAAUCUUCCGCAAUGGGCGAAAGCCUGACGGAGCAACGCCGCGUGAGUGACGAAGGCCCUUGGGUCGUAAAACUCUGUCUUCAGGGAAGAAAAAAAUGACGGUACCUGAGGAGGAAGCCCCGGCUAACUACGUGCCAGCAGCCGCGGUAAAACGUAGGGGGCGAGCGUUGUCCGGAAUUACUGGGCGUAAAGGGCGUGUAGGCGGUUCGCGAAGUCAGGAGUGAAAACUCGGGGCUCAACCUC